This 231-nucleotide unclassified non-coding RNA is filed under the name Malpighiales environmental sample. RNAcentral describes it as "sequence contains 5.8S rRNA gene, ITS2, 28S rRNA gene". The record is from RNAcentral. Lineage: Eukaryota; Viridiplantae; Streptophyta; Magnoliopsida; Malpighiales.
AACGCAAGUUGCGCCCAAAGCCUUCGGGCCGAGGGCACGUCUGCCUGGGUGUCACGCAACGUCGCUCCCCCAAUCCCAAAAAUGAACCAAAGUCGACGGGCGCCACAGCAUUCGGUGGUUGAAAAUACCCUUACGAUGCCGCUUUCAUUCGGUCAAUCCAACAGGGAUCUCAACGACCCUCUUUGUAUCCGACGCGACCCCAGGUCAGGCGGGAUUACCCGCUGAGUUUAA